This 81-nucleotide transfer RNA is filed under the name Pteropus alecto (black flying fox). It matches the Rfam family "tRNA". Rfam says of the family: Transfer RNA (tRNA) molecules are approximately 80 nucleotides in length. Their secondary structure includes four short double-helical elements and three loops (D, anti-codon, and T loops). Lineage: Eukaryota; Metazoa; Chordata; Mammalia; Chiroptera; Pteropodidae. The record is from Rfam by way of RNAcentral.
GGCCCCAUAGUGUAGUGGGAAGAGGUUAGCACGUCUGCUUUACACUCAGAAGGUCCUGGGUUCGCGCCCCAGGUGGAGCCA